RNAcentral lists this ribosomal RNA (283 nucleotides) under uncultured Escherichia sp. Its description in RNAcentral is "partial 16S ribosomal RNA". It matches the Rfam family "Bacterial small subunit ribosomal RNA", at positions 355 to 630 of the family's 1533-position model. Lineage: Bacteria; Pseudomonadati; Pseudomonadota; Gammaproteobacteria; Enterobacterales; Enterobacteriaceae. The record is from RNAcentral.
UGGGGAAUAUUGCACAAUGGGCGCAAGCCUGAUGCAGCCAUGUCGCGUGUAUGAAGAAGGCCUUCGGGUUGUAAAGUACUUUCAGCGGGGAGGAAGGGAGUAAAGUUAAUACCUUUGCUCAUUGACGUUACCCGCAGAAGAAGCACCGGCUAACUCCGUGCCAGCAGCCGCGGUAAUACGGAGGGUGCAAGCGUUAAUCGGAAUUACUGGGCGUAAAGCGCACGCAGGCGGUUUGUUAAGUCAGAUGUGAAAUCCCCGGGCUCAACCUGGGAACUGCAUCUGA